This 251-nucleotide long non-coding RNA is filed under the name Nicotiana benthamiana. RNAcentral describes it as "long non-coding RNA (NBEN_LNC022731)". Lineage: Eukaryota; Viridiplantae; Streptophyta; Magnoliopsida; Solanales; Solanaceae. The record is from RNAcentral.
UCAAGUCCAUUUUUUCCUGGUGACAGAUAUUUUUGUUUUCCUCAUCAGGGGCUUUUGCGGGGUAUCGGCGCCUCCCAUGAUCAUGUGGAUGACGUGUUGUGGCUCGUUUGCCUCAUUUUUCUUGGUCACCUCUCUAUCUCGAAAAUGAUAUUUGGCUCGAUCACUAAGGAAUUACCGAAGCUGCCCUUUGUUUAGCAGUUCUUCUCGUAAUUUCUGGCAAUCAUCAGGUUUGUGACCGUGUGUAUUGUGGA